This 257-nucleotide ribosomal RNA is filed under the name uncultured crenarchaeote. Its description in RNAcentral is "partial 16S ribosomal RNA". It matches the Rfam family "Archaeal small subunit ribosomal RNA", at positions 513 to 767 of the family's 1478-position model. Lineage: Archaea; Thermoproteati; Thermoproteota. The record is from RNAcentral.
UGGGCUAAGCNUCCGUAGCCGGCUCUGAAGUUUUCUGUUAAUCUGNAUGCUCAACUACAGGCUGCCGGGAAUACUGCAGAGCUAGGGAGUGGGAGAGGUAGACGGUACUCNGNAGGAAGGGGUAAAAUCCUUUGAUCUAUUGAUGACCACCUGUGGCGAAGGCGGNCUACCAGAACACGUCCGACGGNGAGGGANGAAAGCUGGGGGANCAAACCGGAUUAGAUACCCGGGUAGUCCCAGCNGUAAACNAUGCAAAC